AACGAACGCUGGCGGCAUGCCUAACACAUGCAAGUCGAACGAGGCCUUCGGGUCUAGUGGCGCACGGGUGCGUAACGCGUGGGAACCUGCCCUUAGGUUCGGAAUAACUCCCCGAAAGGGGUGCUAAUACCGGAUAAUGUCUUCGGACCAAAGAUUUAUCGCCUUUGGAUGGGCCCGCGUUGGACUAGCUAGUUGGUAGGGUAAAAGCCUACCAAGGCGACGAUCCAUAGCUGGUCUGAGAGGAUGAUCAGCCACACUGGGACUGAGACACGGCCCAGACUCCUACGGGAGGCAGCAGUGGGGAAUAUUGGACAAUGGGCGAAAGCCUGAUCCAGCAAUGCCGCGUGAGUGAUGAAGGCCUUAGGGUUGUAAAGCUCUUUUACCCGGGAUGAUAAUGACAGUACCGGGAGAAUAAGCUCCGGCUAACUCCGUG
Molecule: ribosomal RNA, 433 nt
Filed under: uncultured bacterium
Lineage: Bacteria
Description: partial 16S ribosomal RNA
Rfam family: Bacterial small subunit ribosomal RNA
Source: RNAcentral